Molecule: long non-coding RNA, 529 nt
Filed under: Anas platyrhynchos platyrhynchos (common mallard)
Lineage: Eukaryota; Metazoa; Chordata; Aves; Anseriformes; Anatidae
Description: lncRNA (ENSAPLG00000019341.1)
Source: RNAcentral
GUUUUGUUGGACUUCUAAUGAAGAAUGUCAGCUUUUGUAAUUCAUCAACAUGCCACAGAGAAUCAAAUGGCUUUAAGAUAAAAUGCUUGAAAUGAGUAUCUGAAAUCAUGAGAAAAAUACGUGAGCUGGGACAUGACAACUUGAGGAGCACAGUUAAAGAAACAUACCAGCUUCAACAGGUACUUCACAAAAGAGGCAUGGCUUCAGAUGAUUCCCUACUUAGAGUGUGGACAGAAAGCCAGAUGUAGUCAUGAAAGGAAAAUGGAGAUAAACCUGUCUUUUGAGAAAAGCAGAAUUUGUAUGCACAUUUGAUUUUAAAAGUUACCAUUUAACUAUCAGAAUAUUUUCUUAAAUGGUGAGUUUUCACAAAGGAAAUCAAUGCACAAAUAUAACAAUGCAUAUUUAUGACACAUAAGAAAGAGAUAUCCACAUAAUAUUUUAAGUAAAAAAAGAGAAAUAGAAUAUAGGGUACAUUAAGUCUGUAUAAAAUAUCGAUCUAUUUAGAAAUAGUGAAAUUCAAUAAAAUUAG